UGCGGGAGUAGUUCAACUGGUUAGAGCACCGCCCUGUCACGGCGGAAGUUGCGGGUUCGAAUCCCGUCUCCCGCGU
Molecule: transfer RNA, 76 nt
Filed under: Chlamydiota bacterium
Lineage: Bacteria; Pseudomonadati; Chlamydiota
Description: Chlamydiae bacterium tRNA-Asp
Rfam family: tRNA
About the family: Transfer RNA (tRNA) molecules are approximately 80 nucleotides in length. Their secondary structure includes four short double-helical elements and three loops (D, anti-codon, and T loops).
Source: RNAcentral